CCGUAGUUCAAUGGAUAGAGCAUCGGCCUCCGAAGCCGAAAAUAUGGGUUCAACUCCCGUCGGG
Molecule: transfer RNA, 64 nt
Filed under: bovine gut metagenome
Rfam family: tRNA
About the family: Transfer RNA (tRNA) molecules are approximately 80 nucleotides in length. Their secondary structure includes four short double-helical elements and three loops (D, anti-codon, and T loops). Further hydrogen bonds mediate the characteristic L-shaped molecular structure. tRNAs have two regions of fundamental functional importance: the anti-codon, which is responsible for specific mRNA codon recognition, and the 3' end, to which the tRNAs corresponding amino acid is attached (by aminoacyl-tRNA synthetases). tRNAs cope with the degeneracy of the genetic code in two manners: having more than one tRNA (with a specific anti-codon) for a particular amino acid; and 'wobble' base-pairing, i.e. permitting non-standard base-pairing at the 3rd anti-codon position.
Source: RNAcentral